UGGGGAAUAUUGGACAAUGGGCGAAAGCCUGAUCCAGCCAUGCCGCGUGGGUGAAGAAGGCCCUAGGGUUGUAAACCCCUUUCAGCGGGGAAGAUAAUGACGGUACCCGCAGAAGAAGCCCCGGCUAACUCCGUGCCAGCAGCCGCGGUAAUACGGAGGGGGCUAGCGUUGUUCGGAAUUACUGGGCGUAAAGCGCGCGUAGGCGGACCUGCAAGUCGGGGGUGAAAGCCCGAGGCUCAACCUCGGAACUGCCUUCGAUACUGCGGGUCUCGAGUCCGGGAGAGGUGAGUGGAAUUCCUGGUGUAGAGGUGAAAUUCGUAGAUAUUAGGAAGAACACCAGUGGCGAAGGCGGCUCACUGGCCCGGUACUGACGCUGAGGCGCGAAAGCGUGGGGAGCAAACAGG
Molecule: ribosomal RNA, 404 nt
Filed under: bacterium
Lineage: Bacteria
Description: partial 16S ribosomal RNA
Rfam family: Bacterial small subunit ribosomal RNA
Source: RNAcentral